CUCCUACGGGAGGCAGCAGUGGGGAAUUUUGGACAAUGGGCGCAAGCCUGAUCCAGCCAUGCCGCGUGAGUGAAGAAGGCCUUCGGGUCGUAAAGCUCUUUCGGCGGGGACGAAAAGGUCCGUGUUAACACCACGGAUCCAUGACGGUACCCGCAGAAGAAGCACCGGCUAACUACGUGCCAGCAGCCGCGGUAAUACGUAGGGUGCAGGCGUUAAUCGGAAUUACUGGGCGUAAAGCGUGCGCAGGCGGUCUAUUAAGACAGGUGUGAAAUCCCCGGGCUUAACCUGGGAACUGCGCUUGUAACUGAUAGGCUGGAGUGUGGCAGAGGGGGGUGGAAUUCCAGGUGUAGCAGUGAAAUGCGUAGAGAUCUGGAGGAACACCGAUGGCGAAGGCAGCCCCCUGGGCUAACACUGACGCUCAUGCACGAAAGCGUGGGGAGCAAACAGGAUUAGAUACCCUGGUAGUCCACGCCCUAAACUAUGUCAACUGGUUGUCGGGGAAGCAAUUCCUUGGUAACGAAGCUAACGCGUGAAGUUGACCGCCUGGGGAGCACGGCCGCAAGGUUAAAACUCAAAGGAAUUGACGGGGACCCGCACAAGCGGUGGAUUAUGUGGAUUAAUUCGAUGCAACGCGAAAAACCUUACCUACCCUUGACAUGCUA
This 662-nucleotide ribosomal RNA is filed under the name uncultured bacterium. RNAcentral's name for it is "bacterial SSU rRNA". It matches the Rfam family "Bacterial small subunit ribosomal RNA", at positions 336 to 991 of the family's 1533-position model. The record is from RNAcentral.